Mus musculus (house mouse) is the source of this 8815-nucleotide long non-coding RNA. RefSeq annotates it as predicted gene, 40356. The transcript has 3 exons. Lineage: Eukaryota; Metazoa; Chordata; Mammalia; Rodentia; Muridae. The record is from RefSeq and is a predicted model, not a curated record.
UCCAACUGGAAGAUAUUCAAAGGGAAGCCUGAAUUAACAGAUAGAAUAUUCUCUGUAUCACAGAAGGGCUUUUUAUUAAUUUCUGAACAAUGGCAUGAUUUGGGUUAGCGAAAGUGCCACAGUUUGUUAUGAUUUUUUUAAAAGUAAUAUUUAAAGACCCAUUAAAAUGAGAAGAUUGACAAAGGGUUUUCUGCAAAAUAUCCACAUUAAGAAAAAAAAAGGGAAUUGUUUUAAUCUAUUAAAUGUAACUACAGUGCAGGAAAACAGUAAUAGGGUGUUUCAAGUCACAGCACAGAGUUGAAAAAGAACUGUUUGGAUGAGUACAGAUCAGUGAGAGAACUGGUGCUAUUUAAGAAAGGUUCAAUGGCUGCAAAUUAUUAGCUGAUCUCUGAGGCACACAAUCAGGUUUUAAAUCUCAAGCCGCAUAGUUGCUAAUGGUACUAAAUUGCUAAAUUACUUAACCUCUUUGAGAAUCCUCUGAUAGGCUAGAAGUCAUAUGAAGUAGCAUAUAAAGGGAUUUUUAGAAUGAAAGUAUAAUGCGCUAACAGAGUAUUUUAUUAGAUCUACAGGCCAAGGUAGCCAACCUAAAGCCUCGCCCUGCCCUUUACUUGGUUGCUGCUUUUGAAUUUAGCUACCUUGGCCCACUUGGUGCGUCUGUGAACUUGGCCCUACCUCUUGCCUCAGGGGCUUCAACCUUGUGGUCCUAGCUGCCUAGAGUUUCAUCAGAUGCCUUAAGGAGGCCCUCCUUCACAAAGAAUCCUCUGUGCUUCCCAGAAGUAACCAGCAAGCAAACCCUCCAGCAUGCUUGCUUAUCGAAAGGCCUGCUUUUCUUUAGCCAAAAGGACCUGGCUGUUCAGGAAGCCAUGGAACCUAACUUGGAGGAAAAAAAAAAAAAACUUUCCCAACCGAUCAACAGAGGGUGAGCUUAUAAGGCCUUUGUCUCCACACAUAAAAGGAAGAGCACUGAACCCAGGGCUGUAUGAAUGAUAAAAGUCCCCUAUCGCUGAGCAGCAUCCCAAACCUGAGGUAAGAUUCUGUCACAUUCACCAAAGCACCCAGCAGCAGAAAAGUUGUGCCUCCUCUUUCUCCUUCUGGUUUCUGUCCCCUUGUCACUUUUACGGUGAGGCCUACUGUGCUGCUAUCUUUAUGUCAACUUGACACAAGCCAGAGUCAUUUGGGAAGAGGGAACCAGAACUGAGAAAGUAUCCCCACCAGACUGGCCUAUGGCCUGUGGGGCAUUUUUUCUUGAUAGGAUGAUUCAUGUUGAAUUACCCAGCUUAAUGUGGGCAGUGCCACCCCUGGGCUCAUGGCACUGAGCAAGACAUGAGGAGCAAAUCAGAAAGCAGCACCCUCCAUGGCCUCUGUAUCAAUCUCUACCUUCAGAUUUCUGCCUUGCAUUCCCGCACUGACCUCUUUAGAUGAAAGUGUAAGCAACAUAAACUCUUUCCUUUCCAAGUUGAUUUUUGGUCGUGAUGUUUCAUCUCAGCAGUAUAAAUCCCUAGAACAAAAGGUGCCUGCCUUUUCCUCCAUAGCAAAGCCCUCUCCUCUCCCGUGUUUUCAUAAGUUUUAUUUAGUGAUCUCCCUGCCUUCUUAAGAAUGUAACCUCAUAGCUGGGCAUGGUGGCACACGCCUUUAAUCCCAUCACUCGGGAGGAAGAGGCAGGUGGAUUUCUGAGUUCGAGGCCAGCCUGGUCUACAAAGUGAGUUCUAGGACAGCCAGGGCUAUACAGAGAAACUCUGUCUCAAAAAACAAGUAACCCCAUGAAGGCAAAGACUGAGAAUCACUUCCUAUGUCCCCCCAAACCUAUAAUAAAUAGGCUGGCACAUGGUUGUGUUUAAUAAAUGGUUGAAUGGAUAAAUGAUAUUAGCACUGCUGCUCUAUAAUAACAAACUUUCUAAAACAAACAAUCCUUCUGGGUGCAUGAGCAACAUGUAUAACUGCAUUUUAAUUUAUGGCUGUUAAUUAUACAAAAUAAUGAGCUUCAGGGUAUGUUCAUAUAUGCAGAGAUAAUAUUACAUUUAAAUCAAAUUCAACUCCCAUUAUCUACUUUUGUACCUCCCCUGACACUGGUCUCCUUCCUCCUCCUAAAUUGUUCUUGUCAUGAUUAAUCUUUGUUGUUGAUUUGGCUAUUUAGAAUCAGCUAGGCGAUGUACCACCAGGCAUGUUUAUGAAGGUGUUUGUAGAAAAAAAAGCUCACCUUGGAUGCAGGCAGCACCAUGCCCUGGACUGAGGUCCUGGACUUUAACACAUCAGGGAAAGGAGAAAGCUACCUGACUCAGAACACUGUAUGACCAAUUGUCUCACUCUGUCACCAUGCCUUCCAGGACAUGACAGCCAGCAUCCCCUCAAACCAUGAACCUAAAUGCAUCCUUCGUCUCUCAAAUUUCUUGUCAAGGAUUUUGUUAGAAAUAGAAAUGAGAAACGGAAAUAAAUCUUGCCUUCCAUAUAAUUUUAUGUAGUUUUUAGAAAUCCAGAUUCUAUGGGAGUGAGAACAUGUAAGGUUUACCUUUCUGCAUCUAGCUUAUUUAGUUUAACAUCAUGAUCUCCAGUUUAAUAAACUUUAUUAAAAAUCAUUCCAUUCUAUUAAGGCUAGACAAUACUCUACUAAGUACAUAUACCUCAUUUUCUUUAUCUGCUCAUUCGUUAAUGGGCACCUAGGCCAAUUGGAUGUCUUAGUUGUUCUGAGUAGUACUGUGGUAACUCAAGUACUGUGGUAAUUCCAGUUUCUGUAAGCCACAUUAGAUUCCUUCAGGCAUCAUAUAUUCAGGAGUGUUAGUUAGUUGCAUUAUUCUCUUAAAUCUUGCAGAUUAUUUAUUUUCUACCAGGAAGCAUGCGUCAUGAAAUUAUGAAAGACUAAGGCAUACUUAGUCUUAGAGCUGGAAUGUAUCAAUCAGGUUGGCACACUCACCUCACCUGUCCAACUAAAGAACAUUUAGUGGUCCACAAGGGGUUUCAUGGUUUAUAGAAGUUAAAGUGUAUUUAGCUGUUUUGAGAUAAAGAGCAUUUUAUCUUUUCUAGAUGCUAAAAACAAACAUGGGAAGGAACUUCCUGCAUUUUGUAUUCACAGCUAUAGUGUGAUUUUACCAAUUGAAGAUCUGUGGCAAUCCUGCAUCAAGCAACAUUAUUAAGGAAAUCAUUUCUUCCUCCCCCAGUAGCUCCAAUAAUAACAAUUUCAAGUUGUAGACAGUCUUUUUUUAGACACAAUACAACUUAUAAGACUAGAGUGCAUCAUAAAAAGACUUGCAUUCAUUGCAAAAUCAAAAGACUUCUGUUACUUCAGUAUUGUCUAUAGUUUAGUGGUUUAGACACAAACUUUCAUCGUAUUCUCAAUAAAGCCAAAACAUGCUCAAGUAAAAUUUUAGCCAUCUACAGCAGAGAAAGGCUUCUAAUGACUGACAACUGUAGGCAGCCCUACUGUGGCCCUGAUGGGAGAAUCUAUGACUCCAAUACUCUUACAGUGUCAUGACACCAAAAGCAGAAGAUGGCUUGCUGCUCAACCAGAGGUCACAGGUAUUGUAUAAGUUUGUUGUUUUACAUAUGUGUGUAUGUUUACAUGGGUGUGUGCAUGUAUUGUGAGGGGUGCAGAGGUUGGUGUAGGAGUCAUUUUCAAUGGUUCUCUAUCUUAGUUUUUGAGACAAUUACUCAAACCCAGAUUUAAUAAUCAGUGAUUUGGCCAGACUGACUAGCCAAUGAGGUUCAGGUAUUCACCUCUUCCCUACUGCUGGGAUUAAAGAUAUAUUGCUGACAUCACAUGGGUGCUGUGAAGUGAACUCAGUCCCUCAUACUCGCCCAGCAAGAACUUUAUUGAAUGCCAAGUCGCCAGCUCAAAGCAUCACUGACUGAUACUGAAGUGCUUUGUGCAUUGAAAAGCAGUUUCUGAACAGUUUUGAGGAAUGAGUCUCAAAUGGCAGAUCAAUUAUACAGUUAAUUAUUAAGAGUAAUAACAUACCUUAAGAUGGAUGGUACAGACCUGAAUUCCAACUACUCUAGAGGCUGAGGCAGAAGGAGCUUAAGUUAAUGAUCUGACAGAUCAACUUAGCCAGACCCAGUCUCAAAAACACCAGGGAAGAAAAGAGGACUAGGGAUAUAUCAGUGGUAGAGAAUUGGGUGAAGACCCAAGUUUACAUUCCUAAGUGUCACAGAAGAAAACAGAAAGAACAACAGCAUGCUCUCAGGUGCCCUGCAAACUGUGGGAGAUGGCACUGUAAGUAGAGUAGGUACAAUCUCAGGCAUAAUUUAUAGUCUAUUGAUGUGUACAUUUAUUCACUCAGAAAAUUCGAGUCAUUACUGGCUAGGGCAUAUUUACAUCAUGUGAAAUGCACAAAAUAAUAGGUUGCCACCAGAAGGCACAAAGAAAUAUUAAGGGAAAAUACAAAAGCGGCCUGGGGGGCACUGAGUUAUAGUCUCAACACUUGGCAGGGAGAGGCAGGAGGAUUGGGAAUUUAAGGUGAGCCUCAGCUAUACCCACAGAAGAAUCUGAAGUCAGCCUGGACUACAAGAGAGUAUGUUUCAAAAUUAAGCAAAAAACAAAACAAAAAAAACAAAAAAACAAAAAACACCAACCAACCAACCAAAACAAACAAACAAACAAAAAAACAGAAAACAACAACAAAACCAGACAGAAAAUAAUUAAGUACAUAAAUAAAUAGAAAAACCAGGCAACAUAUGGACUGGUGGUGUGGUUCAGUAGUAGAAUACUUGCUUAUUAAACAGGACCAAAAGCCAGGGUUCCAGUCCCAGCACCAAUCUGACUACAAUCAAUACCCUCCACACUAAUAUCAAUGAAAAAUUCUUAUGAACAUGUCAGAAAAAAAAUGAGCUAGGUCAGUUUCCAUUCUUAAAAUAUGAGUUUUCUAAUCUAUCUCUGAAGGUCAAAGGGAAAUGUUGAAGUAUUUUAAAAGUGAGACAUGGUGGAAAGGACAGGGAGGGCUAGAGGGAAGGGAGCGGUGGGUGGAAUCAAAGCACAUUGCAUACAUCUAGAAAAAUUCUGAGAGGGAAAAAGAAGUUACCCCUACUUCCAGCAAACAGCAAACUAAAGGGUAACUUAAGUGAUUUCCCUGACUAGGGUGAGAUCCAUGAAGCCCACUAAGGACUUGGCUUGUUCGGCUGAAGCUGGCUCUUCUCUAUAGACUGCACACCCUGACUAUGGUGUUUCUUCACUGUGGGUCAACACACCUUCUUUCUCAUAUGGCUUUCAUCUUCUACUUCAGAAUCAAAUCUGAGAACCCUCUAAGCGAACAGACAUGCAACUCAUCUCUGAUCUUUAUACCCAAAACUCCACUGGUAUAAAAGUACCCACAAAUCUUUUGUAAUUGCUCGUCCAUCAGUAGCACCUCUAAGCAGCAGCCAGACAGCAACACAGCAGGCCUCCAGCCCACCAGGUCCACUCUUCCCUGUGUUUUCAGCUUCCUUUACUACACACUACAACAGAUAUUUCAAAUCUUAGCUUCUGUUGAUGAGAUGUUACGGAGGGCUACUCAAAGGACUCUUGACAGAUCUUCAAGAAUUUCUUUCUCAAGAAAAUUCACUCCCAGAGAGAAUGGUUUCCAUCUGCUCAACACUAGACUUCAGUAAUUAACUUGGUUCUUUCCAGUCACCUCUUGGCCUUGCUCCAUUACUUAUCAUUUCUCCCCACAAAUAUCAAACAUCUGCUCUGUAAAUCUUCCCAUCAGUACAGACCACGAGCCUUGCAUGUGUUUCAGAGAGGAGAGGAUAGAGUGCCAAGUUUGAUCCCAAGUGUCUUACUUGUGUGGCCUUGAUUAGUUAUCACUAGAAAAAUUGGUUCUGUAUGUUUCCCUUCUUUGCACGAUAGGGCAAUAGUAUGCAUAUUUUAAAUAGGAAUCACAGGAGGCCAGAGUCUUAGGCUCCUGUACUAAAAUGGAGACACACUACAAUUCCUUAUCUCCAAACAGAAAGCAGCUCUACUGAGCUUACCUCCCAAAAUAAAAGAAACACAGACCAACGGCUCAGUAGCACAUGCCUAGCAUGCAACAGACUCUCGGUUCAAUUGCCAUUGCCCAUUAGAAAGGGAGAAAGGGAGGGAAGGAGGGAGGGAGGGAGGGAGGGAGGGAGGGAGGGAGGGAGGGAGGGAGGGGGCCAACUUAGAGUGUUAUUGGCUCCCUGUCCUCACCUUCCAAGGAAAUUUAACCUUGAAAUGCCCCAAAUUUGCUUUUGCUCUCUUUCUCCUGCAGUCUUUAGAUUUUCUCUGUCUAUAAAACAGACUUCAUCUAUUUUAGCCAUCCAUUGUUCAUUCUAUUUCUAUAAAGUAAACUAGAAUUGAAAAUAAAAUUAAGAACAUUAAAAUAUAACACUGUGAAGUUAUUCACUCAUACAAGUAAGCCCCAAGUACAGUGCUUGUGGUUUAAUUUUUUUUUCAAUUCAUAAUAUAAUAGCUAGUUGUGUUGUUUAGGAGUAUGUGUCUGCAUAUUUUUCUUUUUACUUAAACUACAAGUUAUAGAACUGACUACAAUAAACAUACAGAUAUAUUUAAAGAAGUAGAUUGGACAGGGUGGUACAUUUUGUCAGUGACAAAAUACAUCACAGAGAGUUUGACUGCCAAUAAUGAAGAAGUAACGCUCAUUCAGCUAGCUCUUCUACAAAAAAUUAAUAAUAAAUCUUUGCAAAAAUUAUGAUGAUCUGAGGGUUUCUGAGAGGAACAAAGACUGUAGGCAGGAAAACAACAAAAAUCCACCAGGAAAAGGCCACUAGCACUCUGGGAGCUUGGUCUUUGUACAGGUCCUCUGUGGGGCUACUCUCCAUCUCGAGAGCACUGGACACUGAACUGGGCAAGUUCUGGAGCUUACCUCUCAUACCUGAGAACUCGGGUUCAAUUCCCAUCAUGAAAAUUAAAACAAACAAACAAACAAACAAAAUUAUGUUUUUUUCAAUCUUAAACCUUAAGAAAUAUCAAAUUAAUCCAACAAAGAAAAACGUUGGGUUAUGAAGGGCUUUAGCUUUUUCUAGCAUCACAGAAGAGCUCAAAACACAGAUAGUGUAUGAGUCUCAGAAGUGCGAGAUCUCUAGGUGUCUGGAAUGGGGAGAUAGGACACAACCAAGAGUUGACUAAGUAAUAUGCCAUCUGGAAGCAAAGGCUGUCAGUGCCCACAACAGUAGGCAGAGCUCUUUGGAUGCUCAGUGAUCUCACUUUGCUUAUGCCUAAUGUGAAGAAAUAGCAUCACGACUUCUUAAUAUGCUGUGAAGGCUGUGCUCAGCUGUUAACUCAACUAGAUCUGGAAUUAAGUAAUACCCAAGCAGCUGGGUACACCUGUGAGGGACUUUUUUUUUUUUUCUUAAUUAAAUCCUUUGAAGUGGGAAGACCCAGUUUUUGUUGUUGUUGUUGAUGCUGGGGUGUUUUUGUUUUUUGUUGUUUGGUUGGGUUGAAUUUUUGUUGUUGUGGGUUUUUUUGUUUGUUUGUUUUUUACUGUUUCAAAAAGCUUUAUUUUUACUUGAUCCAAUACUUGGGAGAGACUCCAGGGCAGUUACAAAGCUGCCUAGAGGCUUCAGAGGUUAAUUCAGGUGGAGGUCCUGAGGCAGGCUGGUGCAUAGCAGUGGAGGGAACCCAUUGGAAGACACAGGUGCAGCCUGGUCAUGCUUGAGAGUAUGCCACUGAAAGAGAUACUUGCAUAUAUAUUUGUGUGUGUGUAUGUGUACAUGCAUACACACAUAUAGUCAGGGUUCUCUAGAGCAACAGAACUUAUAAAAUUAUAUACUAUAUAUACCAUAUGUAUUAUUUAUUAUAUGAUAUAGAAAGAAUACAUUUAUUAAAAAGUUCUAUAUAAGAAUUAAAUCUGAGAAACCUUUAAAUGAAAAGGCACACAACUAAUCUCUGAUAUUUAUACCCCAAACUCCACUACUAUAAAGUACUUUCCAAUAUUUUGUAAUUGUUCUUCCAUCAUUAUUGCCUCUAGGCAGUGACAGCAGAACAGCAACGCAACAGGCCCUUGAGCCCACUGUAUGUAUGUAUGUAUGUAUUAGGCUUCUUUGAAAUAUGUACUCAAGUGUAAGCAGGAGGAGCAUGCUACUUGGGGAGAGAGAAGCACCUGGUUUGAAUGAAGAGAUGUGCCAGCUCCGGUUCUGCAACCAUGAAACCCCAGAGAUUGCAGAGUCUCACAUAUUAUUCAGGACCAUCUCAUCUUUGCAUCCUCCUGCCUCAGCUUCCCAAGUACUAGGAUAACAGGCAUAACCCACCAUGUCUGCUUACAAAGAAGUAUUUUAAGUAGAUAAAAGACGUUGGCGAUGCUGCACAUGACCGGAGGGUCCUGACUGAACUGUAGAAUGAAGGCGCUGUCUGCUGAAGUGCUUUUUACUGCACUAGAUAAAUGAAGCCCACUCCCACCAAAACUAUAUUUUAAAGAAAGUAGUAACCAUUCCAUGAAAAGAUUCCUUUGUCAUACUUUUAUGAUUUCAUUAUUCCUAGAUACAUGAUACACUUAUAAGGACUUACUCUAAUCAUUUCUAAAAGUGUGAUAUUCAAUAAUCACCUACCAUGUGAGCCAGUUCUGCUGUUCCUUGCUAUUAUGGGAAAAACAGAUGACGUCUCAGUACCUUUUUUUGUCUGCUCUCAGCGGCCACCAGCUGUGCGGACAUCCUUUCUUGCAUUUUUCUGCAGUGGGCCAUGACAGCUUCAAGGAUGGAGAGUGGAUUGGUGCAGACUGGCUUCUCUUUGUCACCAGGACCUGCUUCAUAGUCUCUCUGAAGUGCCAGGAAGGGGUCAUUUAGAUUAAACCUCCCAUACCGUUCCUGGAUGAACACCUCCUUCCUGCGAGCCUACAACAAAAUUGGAGAAAGGAGGUGAAAUAAAGGAAAAUAACAGGAA